RNAcentral lists this non-coding RNA (26 nucleotides) under Homo sapiens (human). Lineage: Eukaryota; Metazoa; Chordata; Mammalia; Primates; Hominidae. The record is from RNAcentral.
UGGAGAACCUGAUACAUGGUCAGUCU